AUGCUUAGUGGAAUUGGCUUGGACUCAGAAAUCAAGAUGCUUGAUGACACAAACAAAUUAUCCAAGUGUGUCCAGAUUGCACGACUAUAUUUGGAGGAUGAUGACGCAGUGAAUGCGGAAGCUUUUAUCAACAAAGCCUCGUUUUUGGUCACAAACAGCAACCAGGAAGUUCUGAACUUACAAUACAAGGUCUGCUAUGGGAGAAUUUUAGAUCUAAAAAGCUGCACUUCAAUAUUGUGUUAUCUCUCAAAUUGA
Molecule: ribosomal RNA, 255 nt
Filed under: Triticum aestivum (bread wheat)
Lineage: Eukaryota; Viridiplantae; Streptophyta; Magnoliopsida; Poales; Poaceae
Description: partial small subunit ribosomal RNA
Source: RNAcentral